CCUACGGGAGGCAGCAGUAGGGAAUAUUGCACAAUGGGCGAAAGCCUGAUGCAGCAACGCCGCGUGCGCGAUGAAGGUCUUCGGAUCGUAAAGCGCUUUUCUGAGAGAUGAGAAAGGACAGUAUCCCAGGAAUAAGUCUCGGCUAACUACGUGCCAGCAGCCGCGGUAAAACGUAGGAGGCGAGCGUUAUCCGUGCUUCACUGGGCGUAAAGCGCGUGCAGGUGGUUCGGUAAGUUGGGCGUGAAAUCUCCCGGCUCAACUGGGAGAGGUCGUUCAAUACUACCGGACUUGAGAGCAGAAGAGGAAGAUGGAAUUCCCGGUGUAGUGGUGAAAUGCGUAGAUAUCGGGAGGAACACCAGUGGCGAAGGCGAUCUUCUGGUCUGUUUCUGACACUCAGACGCGACAGCUAGGGUAGUAAACGGGAUUAGAGACCCCGGUAAUCCUAGCCGUAAACGAUGUGAACUUGGCGUUGGUGGGUUAAACUCCAUCAGUGCCGAAGCAAACGCGAUAAGUUCACCGCGUGGGGACUACGGCCGCAAGGUUAAACUYAAAGGAAUUGACGG
This 563-nucleotide ribosomal RNA is filed under the name uncultured bacterium. RNAcentral's name for it is "bacterial SSU rRNA". It matches the Rfam family "Bacterial small subunit ribosomal RNA", at positions 338 to 916 of the family's 1533-position model. The record is from RNAcentral.